This 354-nucleotide unclassified non-coding RNA is filed under the name soil metagenome. RNAcentral describes it as "partial contains 5.8S ribosomal RNA, internal transcribed spacer 2, and large subunit ribosomal RNA". The stretch from base 1 to 120 matches the Rfam family "5.8S ribosomal RNA", at positions 35 to 154 of the family's 154-position model. The record is from RNAcentral.
GAUGAAGAACGAAGCGAAAUGCGAUAAGUAAUGUGAAUUGCAGAAUUCAGUGAAUCAUCGAAUCUUUGAACGCACAUUGCGCCCAUUAGUAUUCUAGUGGGCAUGCCUGUUCGAGCGUCAUUAAGUCCACUUAAGCCCUGCUUAGUGUUGGGAGACUGCUCCAGCGGUGCUACCCUGUAGCUACCCUGCAGCUCCUCAAAGACAGCGGCGGAGUUGUGGUAUCCUCUGAGCUUAGUAACUUGUUCUAGCUUUCGAGUACACCACUUCCCCUGCCGUAAAACCCUUAAUUUUUAAUGGUUGACCUCGGAUCAGCUAGGAAUACCCGCUGAACUUAAGCAUAUCAAUAAGCGGGGA